RNAcentral lists this ribosomal RNA (398 nucleotides) under uncultured bacterium. Its description in RNAcentral is "bacterial SSU rRNA". It matches the Rfam family "Bacterial small subunit ribosomal RNA", at positions 355 to 769 of the family's 1533-position model. The record is from RNAcentral.
UGAGGAAUAUUGCACAAUGGGCGAAAGCCUGAUGCAGCAACGCCGCGUGAGGGACGAAGGCCUUCGGGUCGUAAACCUCUUUUCUGGGGAAAGAGACAGGACGGUACCUCAGGAAUAAGUCUCGGCUAACUACGUGCCAGCAGCCGCGGUAAAACGUAGGAGGCGAGCGUUAUCCGGAUUUACUGGGCGUAAAGCGCACGCAGCCGGUUCCGUUAGUCGGACGUGAAAGCUCCUGGCUUAACUGGGAGAGGCCGUUCGAUACUGCGGGACUUGGGGUUGGAAGAGGGGUGUGGAAUUCCCGGUGUAGUGGUGGAAUGCGUAGAUAUCGGGGGGAACACCUGUGGCGAAAGCGGCACCCUGGUCCACGCCUGACGUUGAGGUGCGAAAGCGUGGGUAGC